CAGAGCAGGGCCAGCCUGAAUGCCUCAGCCUGGGGAGCCACCAUUCAGGGCUAAACUGACAGCUCAGAGAUAGAGGAGUUCAGCCUGCUAAUUUGCUGCAAGAUACAGCAAAGGAGAGCCACUGACACCUGCGUCUCCAGCUGCCAGGGAGUGGGGCGAAUUUGCCAGUGACUUUGUCGUUGGCUAGCCACAGUGAGUAGUCCCAUGCUCCUCUCCCUCCAAGGACUUCCUUGGGAGAAUUUCAGAGAACAUUUCUUCUGAUUUUUCUCGUCACCCCACCAAAGGGCCAGUCUAGCAAACCAGGCUAUACUCCUAACUUGGGAGGUCAUACAUUUCAGGAGCGCAGGACCCCCAGGAGAAAUGUGCAGAUUCCUGUCUUCUUGCCUCUGGCGAGCAUGAAGGAAGCUUCCGUCUCAGUGGUGCUGAUGGAGGAGGGCAUGAAGUGCGGAGAGGAUGGAAGCCCCCUGUCUAAGCUGUUCUGUGCUGCUAAUGUUUCUCCCCUACCCACUGUCAACAUAUAUAUAUAUAUAUAUAUGCCAUGCUGGGUUUCCACAGGGGGACAGCGGAACCUUGGUCUUGUCAGGGUCUCUAGCUCCAUGCUGCUGGGAUCACAUUUAUGCCCAGGAAGAGAGCUCUGGCUCAGCUUGGCAGUGGUGGCCUGGGAUGUCAGCUGGCUGGAUUCUGUGGGUUGCUGAGGGAAGGCCCUCAUGAAUGGUCACCAAGAGUUGGGCCGACUCUAAGUAGGUCAUUGCUGGUUCUUCGGACAAGAGGAAUCCAAGAGCCAGUAUGUUAAACUCCUCCAAAUUUAAUUGAUUGCAUGGUCAGCCUGGCUUGGGCUUAGAUGCAACUUCUUUGGCUGUGAGGCAAGCAAAACGCACAGAGCUUUUGAGCCAGAAAUGUGUUUAUUUUAAGUUAAGGAGACUGAAGCCUGGAGUGAUGGGUAACAGCUAAUCAAGGCUUGAGCCAGAGGUAGAAACCCAGGUCUGCUGGCUUCCAGUCCUGGACUUUCACCUCAAGACCAAGGAGCCACCAAGGGCCUCUCUGUCCUACUCUGACUAUGUAAGAUUAACCCCUACCAACAAUAUGGUGUUUUGAGACCUGUGAUGAGGAAGGAGAAAUAUUAUAUUUCCAGGAGAGAGCUACUCAUUUCCCUAACAUGUAUGUGAACAAAUUCAACAUUCAAAUCAGGAACCACCUGAUAGGAAAGCAGUAUUAUAGGUAAAAACCCUUCUAGAAAAAAAACAGAAGAAGAAGCUCCUUUAUAAAGCCAGCACACAGGCAGAUGUAGCAGAAGAAAAUUAGUGGAUAAAGGAAAAGGGGCAAUGGGUAGUCCCUAAUUAUCCUACCAAGAAUCCAGUAUUAAUGAUGUAACAUUACAAAUGGGAAAGGGAGACUCACUUUGUGAAUGAGUAGGGUCUCUCUCUCACUUUUUUAACUACAGAAAACUUCCUCUAAGUAGGAAAGUUUGAGAAAGCAAAAGUAUAAUAAUCAGCAGGUAGAAAAAUAUACAAACCGGGAGAAUGAGUCAUCUUAAGUGGCAUUGCUCAUCUUGGGACAGCAAUUGCACCCUUUUCAAAUGAAGUCAGAAAGAAGUUUUAAUUUGACAUUUCCCAGUAUCUCCGUAGGGUCUCUUCAAGGGAAGAGAAUGGGACGGGCACAGUCCUGGUUUUCUCAAUGCAGAGAUUUCAGGAUGAAGAAAUGUCAUUUAUCCUGAGUCAGCAUAUUGAAGUGAAGAUGGACUCCCAUGGAGCUAAAUGGUUACAGGAUUUUAACUCUGAAAAAACUUUAGAAAAGACUGAGUCCAAUUGCCUUGUUUUACAGAUGGGAACACUGAACACGAGAUAGACAGACAGAGAGAGGAGAGAGAGAGAGGUUGGCCUUUCAUCUGUAUUGUGCUUUGAGCAAUCACAUCUAGUAUGAAAGCACACUCUGCUCAGAUGGACUCACUCCUUAAGAGAAGAUGGCGGCAAAGACACUCUAUCUUGGGAUUAUUAUUAAUUAAGAAAGGCUCAUGGAUGCUAACAGAGAAACUCCGGAAUCAUCUGGGAAUCCCUUGAAGAAGCUGAGCCUUCUCUCCUGUUACCCACAGCCCAGUCUGCCCCAUCCUGAAAGGUGUCAAGGAACUGCACUGAUCAGGCUGACCAUGGAAGACCCAGGGUGGAGACAGACGCAAUGUCCCCUUCACACCUCACCAAGGAAGUGACUUGGUCGGGUGGCUCAAGGAGAAACUGGUGGUAACAGUGUCUAAGGCAGAUGCUUGGGUAGAGCACCUAGUACUUGAUAAUCCUUGGGAGAGUUAUUGAAAUUCCUGGGGCUUUGGUUUUCCCAACCAGAAACUGAGGAAAAUGGAGCCUACCUCAUAGGGCUGUUGUAAAGAUUAAAUGAAUAAAUGUAGGUAAAAUACUGAGACUAGUACUUGGCAAAUAAUAAUUGGCCAUUAAAAUGUUAGCUGUUUUUAUUAGAGUACCUGUGAAUUCAUGCCCACACACACAGACACACAGACACACACACACACACCACACACAACCAAACACACAGCCAUGACCUUUGGCCUGAGUUUGGAUGAGACACUCUCAUGGAGUUGGUUCAUUGACAGCUAAAUGAAAGUGUUAAGUGUUGGAUUCAGUCUCUUUCAUCAGGGCUACCAGCCAGCAAAAUAUGCGGAAGGAUCUUUUCAUUCAAUGUUUCCAGAGUUGUGAUAUAUGGUUCCCUGCCCUGGAAACAGGGUAUGUCAGAGAGUGUACAUAUAUUCAGGGCACUCUGAGCUCUGCGUCACUUUUUGCCUUCUCUGUGAAGUCUUCCCUGACCUGUCCAACCAGAAGUGUUGAUUCUCCCCGCUGAUUGCCGACAAUAUUUAUCAUCUGUGCCAUUCACUGUAUAGUCAGUAUUUACUGUGUAAUAUUGUUUAUUUACUUUUAGCUUUUUUGUGUGCAUGUAUUUUCUUUCCCAGAUAAGACUGUAAACCUCCGGGGACAGAAUUACUUUUGUUACUCGCUACGUCACUCACUUUUGUAUGUCCAAAGAGCAGAGCAAGGUGCUUUGCACGUAGAAUAUGUUUAAUAAAG
This is a long non-coding RNA of Physeter macrocephalus (sperm whale), 3065 nucleotides long. RefSeq lists it as uncharacterized. Lineage: Eukaryota; Metazoa; Chordata; Mammalia; Artiodactyla; Physeteridae. The record is from RefSeq and is a predicted model, not a curated record. The transcript is spliced from 3 exons.